GGGGAUUUAGCUAGGUGGCAUAAGCACCUGCCUUGCAAGCAGGUGGUCGUGAGUUCAAUCCCCG
This 64-nucleotide transfer RNA is filed under the name Cavia porcellus (domestic guinea pig). It matches the Rfam family "tRNA". From Rfam's summary of the family: Transfer RNA (tRNA) molecules are approximately 80 nucleotides in length. Their secondary structure includes four short double-helical elements and three loops (D, anti-codon, and T loops). Lineage: Eukaryota; Metazoa; Chordata; Mammalia; Rodentia; Caviidae. The record is from Rfam by way of RNAcentral.